This 244-nucleotide long non-coding RNA is filed under the name Brassica rapa (field mustard). RNAcentral describes it as "long non-coding RNA (BRAP_LNC007620)". The record is from RNAcentral. Lineage: Eukaryota; Viridiplantae; Streptophyta; Magnoliopsida; Brassicales; Brassicaceae.
AAAUUGUGUCUAACGCUCAUAGACCCAAACAUCCACUACGACCCCAUCCGACCUAAGAGAAAGGUCAUUAAUUCUGUGGAUUAUGGGAAAGAACUCGGCUUCAUUGGCGCAUGCCAUUGUGGAGCAGACUAUGAAUCGGAGUACGAGACAGAAUACUCGGAAUCGAUCGACACCCCAACAUUUCCAUCGAUCGAUUCCAAUGUGUCAAUGGUGACCGAUGACCACAACAACACGUCACUCGACG